RNAcentral lists this ribosomal RNA (440 nucleotides) under uncultured bacterium. RNAcentral's name for it is "partial 16S ribosomal RNA". It matches the Rfam family "Bacterial small subunit ribosomal RNA", at positions 338 to 795 of the family's 1533-position model. The record is from RNAcentral.
UCUACGGGCGGCUGCAGUGGGGAAUAUUGCACAAUGGGGGAAACCCUGAUGCAGCGACGCCGCGUGAGCGAUGAAGUAUUUCGGUAUGUAAAGCUCUAUCAGCAGGGAAGAAAAUGACGGUACCUGACUAAGAAGCCCCGGCUAACUACGUGCCAGCAGCCGCGGGAAUACGUAGGGGGCAAGCGUUAUCCGGAUUUACUGGGUGUAAAGGGAGCGUAGACGGCUUGGCAAGCCAGAUGUGAAAGGCUGGGGCUCAACCCCAGGACUGCAUUUGAAACUGUCAUGCUAGAGUGUCGGAGAGGCAGGCGGAAUUCCUAGUGUAGCGGUGAAAUGCGUAGAUAUCUGGAGGAACAUCAGUGGCGAAGGCGACUAUCUGGCACAUAACUGACGCUGAGGAGCGAAAGCGUGGGUAGCAAACAGGAUUAGAUACCCCUGUAGUC